GAGGAACGCGUAGGAAUCUGCCUAGUAGUGGGGGAUAACUCGGGGAAACUCGAGCUAAUACCGCAUACUCUCUGAGGAGAAAAGCGGGGGACUUUCGGGCCUCGCGCUAUUAGAGGAGCCUGCGUUAGAUUAGUUUGUUGGUGAGGUAAUGGCUCACCAAGACUUCGAUCUAUAGCUGGUCUGAGAGGACGAUCAGCCACACUGGAACUGAGACACGGUCCAGACUUCUACGGAAGGCAGCAGUUAGGAAUAUUGCGCAAUGGGCGAAAGCCUGACGCAGCGAUGCCGCGUGUGUGAAGAAGGCUUUAGGGUUGUAAAGCACUUUCAGUCGUGAAGAAAUUUAUUUUGUUAAUACCGAAAUAAU
RNAcentral lists this ribosomal RNA (364 nucleotides) under uncultured Gammaproteobacteria bacterium. RNAcentral's name for it is "bacterial SSU rRNA". It matches the Rfam family "Bacterial small subunit ribosomal RNA", at positions 108 to 479 of the family's 1533-position model. Lineage: Bacteria; Pseudomonadati; Pseudomonadota; Gammaproteobacteria. The record is from RNAcentral.